GACCAGGUAGAACAGUGGUAGUUCACCGAGGGAUAUCUGUGUUUGGCUAAAAGAUCUCCCCUGGGAGUCUGGGUUCGAACCCCAGUCUGGUCA
Mycena epipterygia is the source of this 93-nucleotide non-coding RNA. The record is from the annotation of a GenBank genome assembly. NCBI's taxonomy places the organism in Eukaryota, Fungi, Basidiomycota, Agaricomycetes, Agaricales, Mycenaceae.